AGGGCAGUGGCUCAAUUGGUAGAGCACCGGUCUCCAAAACCGGUGGUUGGGGGUUCGAGUCCCUCCUGCCCUG
This 73-nucleotide transfer RNA is filed under the name Actinomycetes bacterium. RNAcentral describes it as "tRNA-Trp". It matches the Rfam family "tRNA". Rfam says of the family: Transfer RNA (tRNA) molecules are approximately 80 nucleotides in length. The record is from RNAcentral. RNAcentral also lists the same sequence under 11 other names. Lineage: Bacteria; Bacillati; Actinomycetota; Actinomycetes.